Molecule: ribosomal RNA, 404 nt
Filed under: uncultured bacterium
Lineage: Bacteria
Description: bacterial SSU rRNA
Rfam family: Bacterial small subunit ribosomal RNA
Source: RNAcentral
UGGGGAAUUUUGCGCAAUGGGCGAAAGCCUGACGCAGCAACGCCGCGUGCGGGAUGAAGGCUCUCGGGUCGUAAACCGCUUUCAGCAGGGAUGAAAUUGACAGUACCUGCAGAAGAAGCCCCGGCUAAAUACGUGCCAGCAGCCGCGGUAAUACGUAUGGGGCAAGCGUUAUCCGGAUUCAUUGGGCGUAAAGAGCGCGUAGGCGGAUUGUUAAGUCAGAUGUGAAAACUGGGGGCUCAACCCGCAGCCUGCAUCUGAAACUGGCAGUCUUGAGUCUGGUAGAGGAAAGUGGAAUUCCCAGUGUAGCGGUGAAAUGCGCAGAUAUUGGGAGGAACACCAGUGGCGAAGGCGGCUUUCUGGGCCACGACUGACGCUGAGGCGCGAAAGCUAGGGGAGCAAACAGG